RNAcentral lists this ribosomal RNA (698 nucleotides) under uncultured bacterium. RNAcentral's name for it is "bacterial SSU rRNA". It matches the Rfam family "Bacterial small subunit ribosomal RNA", at positions 56 to 745 of the family's 1533-position model. The record is from RNAcentral.
UGCAAGUCGAACGGUAGCGCGGAGAGCUUGCUCUCUGGCGACGAGUGGCGGACGGGUGAGUAAUAUGUAGGAAUCUGCCUAGAAGAGUGGGAUAACCUGGGGAAACUCAGGCUAAUACCGCAUAAGCCCUACGGGGGAAAGCAGGGGAUCUUCGGACCUUGCGCUUUUAGAUGAGCCUACAUCGGAUUAGCUUGUUGGUGGGGUAAAGGCCUACCAAGGCGACGAUCCGUAGCUGGUCUGAGAGGAUGAUCAGCCACACUGGGACUGAGACACGGCCCAGACUCCUACGGGAGGCAGCAGUGGGGAAUAUUGGACAAUGGGCGAAAGCCUGAUCCAGCAAUGCCGCGUGUGUGAAGAAGGCCUGAGGGUUGUAAAGCACUUUCAGCGGGGAGGAAGGUAUAAAUGUUAAUACCGUUUAUGCUUGACGUUACCUGCAGAAGAAGCACCGGCUAACUCUGUGCCAGCAGCCGCGGUAAUACAGAGGGUGCAAGCGUUAAUCGGAAUUACUGGGCGUAAAGGGUGUGUAGGUGGCUAGGUAAGUUAGAUGUGAAAGCCCCGGGCUCAACCUGGGAACUGCGUUUAAUACUGCUUAGCUAGAGUAUUGUAGAGGGUGGCGGAAUUUCCGGUGUAGCGGUGAAAUGCGUAGAUAUCGGAAGGAACACCAGUGGCGAAGGCGGCCACCUGGACAAAUACUGACA